GACCGGCAGGCCAGUUAUUAAUAACGGUGAAAUAGUUAAGGAACAGAAAUUUGCAAAAAAAACAAGAUUAUAAAGUAAAAUUUGAAUCUAUCUUAAAACCUUAGAAGCUUUUAUCCAAAACUAUGAAACCCUUGAGGGAAACCGGGAUUAGAUACCCCGUUAUUCUAGGGUAUAAAGAUUUUACCAGGGUACUACGAACAACGUUUAAAACCCAAAGAGCUUGGCGGCAUUUUAGACCCCCCAGGGGAACCUGUCUCAUAAUCGAUGAUCCACGUUAUACCUGACCCUGUUUUAUUUGUUUGUAUACCGUCGUCUUUAGGUAACCUUUCAAGAGGACCAAAGUUAGCCUAUAACACUUAAAGUGUUUGACGUCAGAUCAAGGUGCAGCUUAUAACAGGGGGAGGAUGGGUUACAAUUAUUGAUUUAUAAUACGAACAAGGUGUUUGAAAAAACCUUUAAAGGUGGACUUGGAAGUAAAACCACUGAGAAAAGUGUUUUGAAUAAGGCUCUGAAAUGU
Molecule: ribosomal RNA, 517 nt
Filed under: Babelomurex deburghiae
Lineage: Eukaryota; Metazoa; Mollusca; Gastropoda; Neogastropoda; Muricidae
Description: partial 12S ribosomal RNA
Rfam family: Bacterial small subunit ribosomal RNA
Source: RNAcentral